UUGCAAUUUGAUUUUCUUGGUCUCUUGCU
Molecule: non-coding RNA, 29 nt
Filed under: Mus musculus (house mouse)
Lineage: Eukaryota; Metazoa; Chordata; Mammalia; Rodentia; Muridae
Source: RNAcentral